Molecule: ribosomal RNA, 664 nt
Filed under: Lentoporia carbonica
Lineage: Eukaryota; Fungi; Basidiomycota; Agaricomycetes; Polyporales; Adustoporiaceae
Description: eukaryotic LSU rRNA
Rfam family: 5.8S ribosomal RNA (bases 249-399)
Source: RNAcentral
AGGAAGUAAAAGUCGUAACAAGGUUUCCGUAGGUGAACCUGCGGAAGGACAUUACUGAAUUUUGAAAGGGGUUGUAGCUGGCCUCUUUAUCGGAGGCAGUGCACACCCUGUUCAUCCAUUCUACACCUGUGCACACCCUGUAGGUUGUUUUGAAUGGGUCUUCUUAUGAGGACUUGUUGAGACCUUCCUAUGUUUUAUACACACACUUUGUCAGUUAAAGAAUGUAAUCGCGUUUAACGCAUUUUUACAACUUUCAGCAACGGAUCUCUUGGCUCUCGCAUCGAUGAAGAACGCGCGAAAUGCGAUAAGUAAUGUGAAUUGCAGAAUUCAGUGAAUCAUCGAACUUUGAACGCACCUUGCGCUCCUUGGUAUUCCGAGGAGCAUGCCUGUUUAGUGUCAUGGAAUUCUCAACCCUCUCAUCUUUGUUGUGAGUUGGGCUUGAUUUGGAGGCUUUGCUGGUUUUUGUAAAUCAGCUCCUCUUGAAUGCAUUGCUUAAACCUCUGCGGAACGGCUGUUCGGUGUGAUAAUUGUCUACGCCGGCGUCGUGAAGCUUUGUUACACUUUGUUGUGUAAGGGGGUGUAGCUUCCAUCGUCUCUUUAUUGGGACAAUAUUUGACCUCUGACCUCAAAUCAGGUAGAUUACCCGCUGAACUUAAGCAUAUCA